RNAcentral lists this ribosomal RNA (157 nucleotides) under Garcinia afzelii. RNAcentral describes it as "5.8S ribosomal RNA". It matches the Rfam family "5.8S ribosomal RNA". From Rfam's summary of the family: 5.8S ribosomal RNA (5.8S rRNA) is a component of the large subunit of the eukaryotic ribosome. Lineage: Eukaryota; Viridiplantae; Streptophyta; Magnoliopsida; Malpighiales; Clusiaceae. The record is from RNAcentral.
CAAAACGACUCUCGGCAACGGAUAUCUCGGCUCUUGCAUCGGUGAAGAACGUAGCGAAAUGCGAUACGUGGUGUGAAUUGCAGAAUCCCGUGAACCAUCGAGUUUUUGGACGCAAGUUGCGCCCAAAGCCUUUUGGUUGAGGGCACGUCUGCCUGGG